UACGUAGGGUGCAAGCGUUGUCCGGAAUUAUUGGGCGUAAAGAGCUCGUAGGCGGUCUGUCGCGUCGGCUGUGAAAUCCCGAGGCUCAACCUCGGGUCUGCAGUCGAUACGGGCAAACUAGAGUAUUGCAGGGGAGACUGGAAUUCCUGGUGUAGCGGUGAUAUGCGCAGAUAUCAGGAGGAACACCGGUGGCGAAGGCGGGUCUCUGGGCAAUAACUGACGCUGAGGAGCGAAAGCGUGGGUAGCGAACAGG
Molecule: ribosomal RNA, 253 nt
Filed under: uncultured bacterium
Lineage: Bacteria
Description: partial 16S ribosomal RNA
Rfam family: Bacterial small subunit ribosomal RNA
Source: RNAcentral